GAUGAACGCUGGCGGCGUGCCUAAUACAUGCAAGUCGAGCGAACGGACGAUAAGCUUGCUUCUCUGAUGUUAGCGGCGGACGGGUGAGUAACACGUGGAUAACCUACCUAUAAGACUGGGAUAACUUCGUGAAACCGGAGCUAAUACCAGAUGAUAUUUUGAACCGCAUGGUUCAAAAGUUAAAGACGGUCUUUCUGUCACUUAUAGAUGUAUCCGCGCUGCAUUAGCUAGUUGGUAAGGUAACGGCCUACCAAGGAAACGAUGCAUAGCCGACCUGAGAGGGUGAUCAGCCACACUGGAACUGAGACACGGUCCAGACUCCUACGGGAGGCAGCAGUAGGGAAUCUUCGGCAAUGGGCGAAAGCCUGACGGAGCAAAGCCGCGUGAGUGAUGAAGGUCUUCGGAUCGUAAAACUCUGUUAUUAGGGAAGAAAAUAUGUGUAAGUAACUGUGCACAUCUUGACGGUACCUAAUGAGAAAGCAACGGCUAACUACGUG
RNAcentral lists this ribosomal RNA (497 nucleotides) under uncultured bacterium. Its description in RNAcentral is "partial 16S ribosomal RNA". It matches the Rfam family "Bacterial small subunit ribosomal RNA", at positions 28 to 507 of the family's 1533-position model. The record is from RNAcentral.